This 490-nucleotide ribosomal RNA is filed under the name uncultured bacterium. RNAcentral's name for it is "partial 16S ribosomal RNA". It matches the Rfam family "Bacterial small subunit ribosomal RNA", at positions 29 to 507 of the family's 1533-position model. The record is from RNAcentral.
AAUGAACGCUGGCGGCAUGCCUUACACAUGCAAGUCGAACGGCAGCAUGACCUAGCUUGCUAGGUUGAUGGCGAGUGGCGAACGGGUGAGUAAUGCAUCGGAACGUGCCUUUUAGUGGGGGAUAACGUAGCGAAAGUUACGCUAAUACCGCAUAUUCUCUGAGGAGGAAAGCAGGGGACCUUCGGGCCUUGCGCUAGAAGAGCGGCCGAUGUCGGAUUAGCUAGUUGGUGAGGUAAAGGCUCACCAAGGCAACGAUCCGUAGCGGGUCUGAGAGGAUGAUCAGCAAGCGUGGGACUGAGAAACGGCCCAGGCCCCUGCGGGGGGAGGCAGGGGGGAUUUUUGGACAAGGGGCCAAAGCUUGACCCACCUAUGCCGGGGGAGGAAAGAGGGCCUUCGGGUUAAAAAGCUCUUUGGGCGGGAAAGAAAUCGCCCCCUCUAAUCCGGGGGGGGGAGGAGGGUACAAGAAUAAGAAGCCCCGGCUAACUCCGUC